UACGUAGGGGGCGAGCGUUGUCCGGAAUCAUUGGGCGUAAAGCGCGUGUAGGCGGCCCGGUAAGUCCGCUGUGAAAGUCCAGGGCUCAACCCUGGGAUGCCGGUGGAUACUGUCGGGCUCGAGUCCGGAAGAGGCGAGUGGAAUUCCUGGUGUAGCGGUGAAAUGCGCAGAUAUCAGGAGGAACACCAAUGGCGAAGGCGGAUCUCUGGGCCGAUACUGACGCUGAGGAGCGAAAGCGUGGGGAGCGAACAGG
This 253-nucleotide ribosomal RNA is filed under the name uncultured bacterium. RNAcentral describes it as "partial 16S ribosomal RNA". It matches the Rfam family "Bacterial small subunit ribosomal RNA", at positions 524 to 776 of the family's 1533-position model. The record is from RNAcentral.